This 207-nucleotide ribosomal RNA is filed under the name uncultured bacterium. RNAcentral's name for it is "partial 16S ribosomal RNA". It matches the Rfam family "Bacterial small subunit ribosomal RNA", at positions 568 to 774 of the family's 1533-position model. The record is from RNAcentral.
CGCGUAGGCGGGGGACCAAGUCCGGGGUGAAAUCUUUCGGCUCAACCGGAAAACUGCCUUGGAUACUGGUCUUCUUGAGGGAGGUAGGGGCAGGUGGAACUUCCGGUGGAGCGGUGAAAUGCGUUGAUAUCGGAAGGAACGCCGGUGGCGAAAGCGACCUGCUGGAUCUCUUCUGACGCUGAGGCGCGAAAGCUAGGGGAGCGGAAC